Molecule: non-coding RNA, 243 nt
Organism: Cinara cedri
Lineage: Eukaryota; Metazoa; Arthropoda; Insecta; Hemiptera; Aphididae
Source: the annotation of a GenBank genome assembly
UGGGUUUACCUCUAUAUAUUUAAAGGGGAUUUUUCGGUUCACCGAGCGGCGCCGAUUAUUAGCUAGGCCGCCGCUGCGGAUGAGGUCUAGUCGCGCCCGUGUAUUUAACCCGGACUUCGCUUAGAACCGUUUUUCAUUAGCCAGUGACCAAUAUUCCGACAGUCGUUCGCGGUUUGGCGCAAUCAAUUCGUUUUACUAGUUUCAAAAUUAAAUCGGCAAACAAAUAAAAUCGCUGGUUUUCCG